RNAcentral lists this ribosomal RNA (468 nucleotides) under uncultured bacterium. Its description in RNAcentral is "partial 16S ribosomal RNA". It matches the Rfam family "Bacterial small subunit ribosomal RNA", at positions 28 to 507 of the family's 1533-position model. The record is from RNAcentral.
GACGAACGCUGGCGGCGUGCUUAACACAUGCAAGUCGAACGGAAAGGCCCUGCUCUUGUGGGGUGCUCGAGUGGCGAACGGGUGAGUAACACGUGAGUAACCUGCCCUUGACUUUGGGAUAACUUCAGGAAACUGGGGCUAAUACCGGAUAGGAGCUCCUGCUGCAUGGUGGGGGUUGGAAAGUUUCGGCGGUUGGGGCUGGACUCGCGGCUUCUCAGCUUGUUGGUGGGGUAGUGGCUUACGAAGGCUUUGACGGGUAGCCGGCCUUAGAGGGUGACCGGCGUCAAUGGGACUGAGAGACGGACCAGACGCCUAUGGGCGGCAGCAGUGGGGAAUAUUGCACAACGAGCGGAAGCCAGAUGCAGCAGCGCCGCGUUCGUGAUGACGGCCUUUUAGGUGUAAACCGCUUUCUCCUGUGACGAAGCGAGAGUGACGGUAACGGGUAAAGAAGCACCGGCUAACUACGUG